UCUCUGCAGUAGUAACAAAUAAUGCUUAUUUAAACAGCAUGCCUUCCAAAGGCCUUAGGUUUUGUUUGUUUGUUCAUUUGUUUUGUUUUUACUAACAUAUUUGAGACUUACAGCAUCUGCUAAUUUAUCUAAUCUUCUCUUCAAUUAUUGUACUUUCAGCCUUCACCAUAACUUCACGUAAUGAUUAUAUAAAAUUACCCUUUCCUCUUAUUUAUCUCCAAACUAAGUUUUCCAAACUUUAAGGGGUACCUCCUAGUUCUGGAAUUACAAUUUUCAUUAAAAAGUUGUUUCCUCUACCAAGACUGCAUGAUUUUGCAAACUAAUAUCAUUUACUCUCUCCAAACAAUCAUUUUUAGAUUUAUCCUAAUAAUGGGAAAGAACAAAAUUCAAAUGGGCAGAGAAAAUACAGUUUCCUUAUUUUUGCUCUUGUCAUGCUAACUUGAAGUCCAUUCUGGUUUCUCUCUUAAUCUGAGCCAAUAGGGGUCAUUAGAUAGUCCUUAAUAUCCAGAGAAAAAAUGCUUAUCUCUCAGAAAUUUUGGUCUCCCACCCUUCUGACCAUCUCCUCUCCAACAUGACAUCUCAAGAAACUUUUGAAUUCUUGUAGGAGGCGUAGAGGAUAAGGCUUUUUAUUUCAUUGUCACUUGUCCAUCUAGGCUGCCACUCACUGUGUUGGCUUUCGGUGGCCAAAGUCUACAGCUGGUAUAAUACAUACGGUGGGUUCUCUCUGAUUUAUUGGCGCCCAGUGGUGCAUUCUGACCUGCAUGUCCUUUCUCAGCCCUUGCUGACUCCUCAGGCACUGCCACUGCCCGAGGCUCUGUCCAGUCAGCCUCUAGGCCAGAUGGUCUGCCUUUGCCAUGGAGUCACACCAUCCUGUUCGGAAUGGACCUUGGAACGUCCACUGUAUUCAUGCCACUUAGGAACUUAGAGGGACUCGGAAGAGCGAAAUAAACCAUCUGGUGGCCAGCUACACAUUCUGGCUUGUUAAGUAUCUCAUGUUGGCAUAGGACCAUUCUCCUUCUGGUAUUUUCUUCAAUGUAUCUGUAUAUAUACCAGAAGACAACUUUCUCUGAAGGGUCACCUCCAAGUUGGGGAUGAAGUAUGGAGAAAGGGACCAUUGAGGUACUUUCCUUCCCCUUCUCCACUCUUUCCAUCUUCCUAAUUUCUUCCAUAAUACCCUGGGUCUAAAAGGAGUAGAUUGCUCCCUUUCACUGUGUCGUAUCUUUCUUCUACCUAAGCCUUACAGGGAGAAGAAAUAUUCUCUGGGAGAAAAAGGGAAAAUAACUUGAGCAGGUGCUCUAGGCUUGGUUCUUGAAAAAAAUAAGAGAAAAAAGAAUAAUCUAGACAUUCCUCUCUCAAGAAAAUGGCUUUUUAUGACCAUUAUAAGACUAUUUUAUGGAAAUUUUCAAAUUGAUAUUUCAUUGAUACAAAACUACAUUUAAAAUGUCAGGAUCUGUACAUUUUGUAUCCUUUUGUAAUUAUCCUAAUUCUCUUUUACAACCACCUGACCUCUUGACUUCUUCCUUACUAGGGGUUUCCUUGGGUCAAUCAGAAAGGAGGUCAUGAACUUAGAAAAGUAAAAGAAAAAAGCAGACUAUUUCAGAAUAUUACCUCCAAUACACUUACCUAAUUAAUUAAUCUAUUUGAUAAUACCUACAUUCCUUAUAGCAAAUUAGGUAGAGCCUACUCUUAGAUCUUCACAUAUUAUCAUUCUGUGACACCCCCACUGAAUCUUUCUCAAGCUUCAACAUAUCUAUCUUACCAAGGCACAACGAUGGCACUGCAAGAAAGUGUUCCUGGUUCAGAUGAAUUAUGACAUCAUGCUGUGGUUCAGAGAAAGGAUAAUGUCUUACUUUUUCCUGAUAAUACUUAUUAUUGUGCAGAUCUCAUUUUCUGUGAUUCCCUAUUACUGAUAACUGAUGCUGAGCAUAUGAGAGCUCAAAGCUCAUUAAGGUACUUAUCAGUGGGAAUUCCACUGACUGCAACAGGUGGCUGUGGUGAGAUGUUGGGAAAGAGGAAAGAUAGAGGCAGGCAUUAGUUUCCUCAUUUACUCUGAACCUGUCAUCAAAUUAUAUUAGGUUAAGAAGCUAGAAAAUGGUUAGCAACAGUUGAUGAAAUCAGCUUUGCCUUGUAUUGACUCUAAUUGAAACAAGUUGUAGAACCAACAUUAUGACAGGAAUGUCAGAAAUAUAAAGAGGAAAAAAAUACUAUGUCUUCAUGUUACCAAGUGAACUUUUUUUAUUUUUUAUUUUCCCAUUCCUAUUCAUAUUUAUUAUAUCAUUUGUAAUAGAUAAAAUCUUACUGACAGUAACACUUUCAACAUGAAUUGGAUUUCUCAUAAUAUAUUUAUGCUCCAAUUAAAGACAAUUUGACCUUGUAAGAUUAAAAAAACUUUUUGCCCUGAGAAGGUCGAGGAUACAGUGGGCUGUGAUUGCAACACUGCAAUCCAGUCUGGGCAGCAGAGCGAGACCCUGUCUUAAAAAAAAAAAGGUUGGGAAAACCUUUAAGACUAACACAUCAGGACUCUGACUAGUGUUUAAAAAAAUUAUGCUUUUUUCUUAUGAAGAACUUAUCACUGUAAUUGGUCUUACUGUUAAAAUAGCCUAAUUAGUUGAUGGGGACGAUACUAAUUUACCAUGACAAAUAUAUUAAUUUCCUGAUGUUGCUUUUUAAAUAAACAGAAUCAAAUUAUUUUUUAUCUUAAAAAUACCCAUGAGAUUAUUUUUUGUGAUGGUAUAUAAAUGUCUUUAAGCUUUUGUCAUUUAGUUAUCACAUCAUUUCUAGUCUUUCCCAACAGCCUUCAAAGAUAAUUAUCAUUCUUGAAGAUUUUACCGGGUAUAUUUGGCCCUUUGCUCUUUGAAUUUUUGGCUUAUUUGCGAACUAGUUGACAUUUUUCUGAUAUUUAGUCUGCUUAUCUAUGAA
Molecule: long non-coding RNA, 2919 nt
Filed under: Homo sapiens (human)
Lineage: Eukaryota; Metazoa; Chordata; Mammalia; Primates; Hominidae
Description: HSALNT0218578
Source: RNAcentral